This 467-nucleotide ribosomal RNA is filed under the name Acinetobacter sp. oral taxon C51. RNAcentral's name for it is "bacterial SSU rRNA". It matches the Rfam family "Bacterial small subunit ribosomal RNA", at positions 30 to 491 of the family's 1533-position model. The record is from RNAcentral. Lineage: Bacteria; Pseudomonadati; Pseudomonadota; Gammaproteobacteria; Moraxellales; Moraxellaceae.
AUUGAACGCUGGCGGCAGGCUUAACACAUGCAAGUCGAGCGGAGCGAGGGUGCUUGCACCUUAGCUUAGCGGCGGACGGGUGAGUAAUGCUUAGGAAUCUGCCUAUUAGUGGGGGACAACGUUCCGAAAGGGACGCUAAUACCGCAUACGUCCUACGGGAGAAAGCAGGGGAUCUUCGGACCUUGCGCUAAUAGAUGAGCCUAAGUCGGAUUAGCUAGUUGGUGGGGUAAAGGCCUACCAAGGCGACGAUCUGUAGCGGGUCUGAGAGGAUGAUCCGCCACACUGGGACUGAGACACGGCCCAGACUCCUACGGGAGGCAGCAGUGGGGAAUAUUGGACAAUGGGGGGAACCCUGAUCCAGCCAUGCCGCGUGUGUGAAGAAGGCCUUUUGGUUGUAAAGCACUUUAAGCGAGGAGGAGGCGCUCUAGGAUAAUACCCUAGAUGCGUGGACGUACUCGCAGAUAAGC